This 598-nucleotide ribosomal RNA is filed under the name uncultured bacterium. Its description in RNAcentral is "bacterial SSU rRNA". It matches the Rfam family "Bacterial small subunit ribosomal RNA", at positions 338 to 950 of the family's 1533-position model. The record is from RNAcentral.
CCUACGGGAGGCAGCAGUGGGGAAUAUUGCACAAUGGGCGCAAGCCUGAUGCAGCGACGCCGCGUGAGGGAUGACGGCCUUCGGGUUGUAAACCUCUUUCAGUAGGGAAGAAGCGAAAGUGACGGUACCUGCAGAAGAAGCGCCGGCUAACUACGUGCCAGCAGCCGCGGUAAUACGUAGGGCGCAAGCGUUAUCCGGAAUUAUUGGGCGUAAAGAGCUCGUAGGCGGUUUGUCGCGUCUGCCGUGAAAGUCCGGGGCUCAACUCCGGAUCUGCGGUGGGUACGGGCAGACUAGAGUGAUGUAGGGGAGACUGGAAUUCCUGGUGUAGCGGUGAAAUGCGCAGAUAUCAGGAGGAACACCGAUGGCGAAGGCAGGUCUCUGGGCAUUAACUGACGCUGAGGAGCGAAAGCAUGGGGAGCGAACAGGAUUAGAUACCCUGGUAGUCCAUGCCGUAAACGUUGGGCACUAGGUGUGGGGGACAUUCCACGUUUUCCGCGCCGUAGCUAACGCAUUAAGUGCCCCGCCUGGGGNGUACGGCCGCAAGGCUAAACUCAAAGGAUUGACGGCUGNGAGNGCGACGACGACGACGAGGGAGAGG